GGCGGUGAUGAUUAUAGAAAUUUAAAUCUCUUUAACCUGAUUCGUAAAUCUGAGGAUGAAACUUUCCAUCCAUUCUUAAACAUUUUUUGAGC
Gossypium arboreum is the source of this 92-nucleotide non-coding RNA. NCBI's taxonomy places the organism in Eukaryota, Viridiplantae, Streptophyta, Magnoliopsida, Malvales, Malvaceae. The record is from Rfam.